RNAcentral lists this ribosomal RNA (527 nucleotides) under uncultured bacterium. RNAcentral describes it as "bacterial SSU rRNA". It matches the Rfam family "Bacterial small subunit ribosomal RNA", at positions 342 to 860 of the family's 1533-position model. The record is from RNAcentral.
CGGGAGGCAGCAGUGGGGAAUAUUGGACAAUGGGCGCAAGCCUGAUCCAGCCAUACCGCGUGGGUGAAGAAGGCCUUCGGGUUGUAAAGCCCUUUUGUUGGGAAAGAAAUCCAGCCGGCUAAUACCCGGUUGGGAUGACGGUACCCAAAGAAUAAGCACCGGCUAACUUCGUGCCAGCAGCCGCGGUAAUACGAAGGGUGCAAGCGUUACUCGGAAUUACUGGGCGUAAAGCGUGCGUAGGUGGUUAUUUAAGUCCGUUGUGAAAGCCCUGGGCUCAACCUGGGAACUGCAGUGGAUACUGGAUGACUAGAAUGUGGUAGAGGGUAGCGGAAUUCCUGGUGUAGCAGUGAAAUGCGUAGAGAUCAGGAGGAACAUCCAUGGCGAAGGCAGCUACCUGGACCAACAUUGACACUGAGGCACGAAAGCGUGGGGAGCAAACAGGAUUAGAUACCCUGGUAGUCCACGCCCUAAACGAUGCGAACUGGAUGUUGGGUGCAAUUUGGCACGCAGUAUCGAAGCUAACGCGU